AUGAAGGCCAAGAAGUUGAGGGUGGCCGCCAUGGCCGCGCUGUGCGUGCACCUGCUCCUCGUGGAGCAGCAGCAGGUGGCUGCCAUGUCCGAGUUCUGCCACUGCUACGGAGACUGCUACUCCGAGUGCAGGCAGGACGCACCGCGCUGCCUCUGCCUCCCAUCCUGCGUCAACUACUGCAGCUCCAGCCCCGGCACCAGCCAGGCCAUUGUAGGCGACUACGGCGGCGCCACAUGCAGGAUGACCUGCAAGCUGGACCUGAGCGUCUGUGGCUGGUCGGUGGAGCCAGGCGAUGCAGCUGACACCGCAAUCUGUGUGCAAAACUGCAACAGGAAAUGGGGCCACAAGGCCAAUUGA
RNAcentral lists this ribosomal RNA (357 nucleotides) under Triticum aestivum (bread wheat). RNAcentral's name for it is "partial small subunit ribosomal RNA". Lineage: Eukaryota; Viridiplantae; Streptophyta; Magnoliopsida; Poales; Poaceae. The record is from RNAcentral.